UUUCAAAAGGUUGUCAUGGCUAACAUUAGCGAGCUGUGGCUUUUUUACACAUCAUGAAAAUUGAAACCAACACUAGCACUGAGUGAAGACGUAUCCUCCUCUGAACCCUGAUUUAAUCAGAGCAACAUUUUGUCUUUCUAAAUGCUCUGAUGCACUGAACAGUUAGAGACUCACCAGGUCCAUUUGCCGCUGAGUGUUAGAACGACAUUAUACUGUGGGUUCAUAAGAGCUUUGUUGCUGCUGCUGCUGCUGAAAAUGGUCCUGCUAAAAGUGGACAGAGAGGAGUAAAGGGCAGCGAAACCAAAAUGCUUGAAGUUGCCAAAACCUCUGAAGAGUUGAGAGAAAAGUCAUAAUUUUCUUUGAGUUCAUUGCCACGAGUCACCCUUUCAUAACACACAGCCAUAACACGUUGUCUUUCUGCAACAAGUGAUAAAUGGGGCUUUUAGUGUUUUAAGAAGCUGAAUAACUGUUACACCUACAUCGAGUUUAGUUAAGGCUGAAGCUAUGAAUCACCAAAUCCUGGAAGCAGUGUGAUUUUAAAUCAGGUGUUGUUCGAUUAUUCACUGUCUGUGAAGCAGCUGCAGUUCUCUUUGUAUUUAAUCAUGCCUCCAGCAUUUUUCCAAGCUUAAGGAAGGACUCCAAGUUGGCUGAAUGGAAUGGGUCAAUGGAACAUAGCUGCACAAUGUAAGAGCAGCCGAUCAAUCAAUAUUUCCAAUUGGACAUCCUCUGGCGUGGGUUAAAACUUGCUGUCUAAAGCCCAAUCGUUUAAAAGUUGGGACGCUGUGUAAAGACAGAAUUUGAUGUAAUGCAAAUUAUUCAUGUCCUGUAUUUAAUUGAGAUUGUAUGAUGCAGCCUUGGCUUCGUAGUAGAGUCAGUGGUCUCUCAAGCAAAGGGUGGGGAGAUCUGAUGGUGGUCUCUGCCAUUAAUGUGUGAAUGUGAUGUAAUGUGGUUGGCUAGACCAGAGAAAGCUCAAUAUGAAGAUAGUCCAUUUAUCAUUUUAAAUUCCACAAUGUUGGGACAGCGAUAUGUUUACCAUUGUGUUACAUUAACUUAGCACAACAGCAGCACUACUGUUUCCAAAGUUGAUUUUAUCGUUGAGCAGUUCUGGUAACCUUCCAGAUGUGUAAGCUACCUUUUUCUUUGGACACUUGCGCACCCCCAUGCCAUCUCUAUUGCUGGCUUUAAACUGUGCACUGCUAACAAGCUUGGAUCAGCAUCCAUGGUUUCCAAAAAGAAUGUCAAAUUUUGUUUUGCGAGACCAAAGUGCAGUUUCCCACUUGGCCUCAGUCUAUGUCGCAAAACCUCAACUAAAAAGCCAUUCUAAAGCCACAAAUAGUGCUCAGAACAGCACCUAACUUCAUCAACAGUACAUACAGGGUCCCAGCCAUGGUACUAUCCAUCAAAUAUCUUUUUAGUUUUGCGUAAUUUCUUUAGCAGAGACUAAACACAACUCACUCACUCUCCUCCAGCAGCUGCUUGUUUUUGGGGAAUCCCUGACGAGUUGAUCACCGAGUGCAGCGGAUCAUUUCCAUGAAGUAAUAAUCAUCAUAUUAAUCAUUUUGCACUGCAGACCUUCUUCUGCCUUAGCGUCUUGGUCUGAUUGCAUUUCCAUGAAGUAAUAAUCAUAAAUGUUCUUCCUUAAGCUGCGAAACUCCGCUGCACUCUGUGAUCGACUCAUCAGGACUCCCCCACAAACAAGUGGCUGCUGGAGGAGAGUGGGUGAGUUGUGUUUAGUCUCUUUGCUAAUGAAACCAGGCAAAGCUAAAAAGAUGUUUGAUUGCUAGUACUAUGGCUAAUUGUAAAAACAUUUUCAGGCUGUCAUCUGUUCUUGGACUAUAUGCAUUAAAACAUGUUUUAAGUUAGUUGCUAACCCUUAAAACCGGGUUUGUUUUAACUCAACAUCUUACAGUGUAGGGUUGACUUUCAUCAUAGUAUUUCAUUAAUCAUGAUCAUGGCUGUUCAUAUCAAAUAAUCACAACUUUGGGGAUUUCAUUCCUCUCUUCAUUGUGCAUGAAAAUCUGCAGAAACUGUUCAAAGCCUAAGGUUUGUUUGUCUAUACUGCAUCUACCCACACAAAACUGCAGCCAUGCUGUUCUUUUGGUCUGUUGUGCACUUUUUUCACCACACCGUCACCACACACAAACAUGUAGAAACUGCCUUUUCCUGUCAUGUAAACAUAAGAGACAUAUUUAUGUGGUAUUGUAUACUUUCACAUGUGCUCUACUGACAUUCCACAAACUACAUGCUUCUCACUGUUGAUGCUCAUGUGACAGCCCUCCUAUGCUGGGCCUCGCCAUGUGUGUACAGUAGAGCUGCCUCAUGGUCAUGUUCUCCUCAUGCAGCUUUAAGCCUGUGGGGUUAAAAUAAUCAGCUUGCUAAUGAAACGUUUACAAUGGAGGCAGACCGACUGGACCAGAUGUCCCCGUGCCUCCAGGUCUUUGCUUUUAAUUUGCGUCAAAAGAGCUGAACUGAACCCAUCAGUGAGGUUUGGGGGGAAAGGGAAAGACUUCAAAGUGUGACAAAUCAAUUAACACAGUGAUGUUUUCCCCAUGGCAUAAUUUGUAAAAACAGCAAACUACAGGGCAAACAUCUUGAGAAGAUGACUUGAGUUUUAAUCAGGAGACCAAGAUAACCAAAGAUUUAAUAUGUACCAGGCUUUUUGGAAAGCUUUUGGAGAUCACAAUCAUUACACAGUAUAUGCGUCUCUCUACUCUGUCCUUUUUUAAGAACAUAUUCAUUGAGCAAAGAUCAAGAUUUGGUCUUUAAAAUUGCUUUCAGUGUGUCAAUUUGUAAACACUUUGUUAAGUGUUAGGAAAAGUGUUUGCAGUACAAUCCAGCUGCGUCCCUCAAGGUAUUUUGAAUUGCGGCCUGUUAAAAUAAAUGCAUUAUGAAAGCCCAUGAUAAAAAAGCAUCCUGCUUUUUCUCCUUGUAACAAUGACCAGACCCUUUCUGCAGUGAAUUCACAGCCUAUCACCAGCUGAGAGAUCAAAAAGAGGCAUUUGUUCAUGUCUUUGUGGAUUGGCUCAAAGCUGGAAUGAAGGGGAUGCGUGCCUCUGGGCCAAAUAAUGUUUCCCAUAAUGGCGUGUAAACAAUAUGUUUGACUCCCUCUCACCGAGCCUUUCGCGACAACUGUCAUAAUGUUUGGUGACCUCAAGCACCCAGAAUCAGCGGUGGAGAGCGAGAAAAGAGCCAAGGUUCAGUUGGUUUACCCAAUGUGAAGAAAAAAAUUGAAACAAUUCCACUAAUCAGUGAGUAUCUGCUCAAUCCUUGUAAAGUUUCAGAUAGGAUUCUCAGCACUCUCAGCCACAAACCCCGCUCAAAACGUACAGAUAAACUCACGUCUGUCAUUUUGGUCUGGGUGAAAGCAGGGCCUCAACCACGGCGGUAAAGCUGCCCCUCUUUUGGGCGGGGUGGCAAAUAUGACCUCUACUUGGUAGGAAGGCCAUAAUAGCAUCUAUGCUCUGACAGUGUGUCAUUACACACUAUAUUUACAUGAAACACAGCAACCCAGGGUGGCAGGUCACGACGUGAAGCUACGGGGGGUGAGGAUUCUCUGGUGCAUGUCGAACCGAACAACCAGAGAUUACUGAUGAUUAUAGAACCGCUUCGCCUGUAAUGUGGCCUGUUUUGCAGUUUAAUGGUUGUCAGGGCAUGUUUUACAGCAUCAUUACAUGGUUAUUUAACUGCUAUGACUACAUUUAUCUAACUUCUAUUGGAUAUUUAAACUUGAUAGCUAUAAUCGGACCACCCUGUGAGGAGGUAUCCCGUGGCUGAAGUUGAAAAUGACGGUGAUAAAACACUGGCAUUGGUUAAUUUCAUUCCAGUUCAGCAUUAUUGUGGGGGUCUUUGCCCUCGUCUUGCAAAAAUUCAAUUAGAAGCUCAUUUCCCAAACUCAUGUUCAUUUUCACUGAUAAGAAAAACAUGGCUGGCAGAACAGCAAAUGAGCAGCACACUGUACAACACCCACAGCUUUCGACGUUUCUGAUUCACAUUAACAAACUGAUGUUAGACAUACCUGCAGUAAUUACUGUCACCAGCUUUUUCAGCCUUUUAAAAGAGGCCUCCAGCAGCCAGCCAGAUGCAGCAAUUCCUCUGAAGUUCAAAAUGAAACCAAUGCUAUAAGUUUGUCCUGCAGAGCUUUGUGUGUGGCUAAAUCAAAACAGGUUGCAACACACAAUGCACUGUGUGCACUUAAAGGUAGAAAGUGCAGACAGUAUCCCAACCCUUUUUGAAUAUCCCUGUCAUAGUCAAGCGGGCCUUUCUCACUGUAACAGUAUGAGACAAAAGCAGCUGUUUGAGCACAACUUUGAUUCUGUGGACAAACAAACAAACUCGUCCAACUGAUACCAGAACUGAAACUGACUCUUUUGAUUGUUGAGUAGUCAUUAAUUUUAAAAACAAUUUUACAGCUAAUUUUACAAUGAAUUCCAGUCACUUAAAAGUUGGGUAGGCAGGAAUCUGUUAAAGAGGCAUCUUUUUUUUAUUGGCGUAUAUACAAAAAAGCUUUUAAUAUCAGUCAAUAGCUAUUAGACAUUGAUGACGUUUGGUGAUAUAAAGAUAUCACUGUUUCGUUAUGUCUGUGUAGUCAACAUUUCAAAUUUUUUUGACUGCUCCGCUCUUUGUCACUGUAAACAAAGCCAUUCCCCGCCUCCCCCAUCCUGAUUGGUUGUGAGGCAGACGCUGCUCCCCAGUGUCGUUCAGGAGCCCAUACAAAGUUAGCGUGCUACAAUAUCAGACAGUAGAAACUAACCAGAAAGUACAGAAAGUUGUCUGAAUCCUCCUUUAACCACGACUGCCAACAAAAGCUGGAGCAUAGACAGAGGAAGUGCCAGUUUUUGGGAGAAAUCUUGAAUGUAAACACUACCCUUCCCAACCAGUUUUCCCCUUAGCUCCUGCCUACUCCACCUUUAAUGGCGCUUAUCAAGCAGUCAGCCUUGAAAUUUAACAAUAAACCUAUAAACUUAAAAUAUGCCACUAAAAAUAUUGAUUCAAGCCAAAUUUCGGUUUAGUCUGAAAGCAAAACUAUCAAUAAUAUAAGAUGAAUGGUUUGGUUAAUUUUGUAGCCUUGUAUCUAUAGUCAUACGGUGCAAGUCCUUGGCUCCACAGUGAGGAGUGGAAAAAGAGAAAGAGAAGAAUAAAGGAUGAAGAAGAAAAACAUGUUCUCAGGUCAAGAUAAAAGGCUGGAAAUAUAACUUGAAGGAAAACAACAGUCUCGGCUUCAACUUUUAGGGUCACAGUGAGUUGUUGUUUAAAAGAGAGACGUCCAAAUGCCUUCUUUUCCCAUGAUAAGCAAAGUCUGCUGCUUAAAAUUUGGGGACUGUUUUUCUUUGCAGCGAAGUGGGUGGGAUGUUUGUAGUGUGAUAAGUUUUUGGAUGUGAUGGUGUUGGAUUGGCCACUACUCUUGCCAUGUUUCAUUAACGUGUCACUCUCUUUGCCGCUGGUUUGCAUGUACCAAACUCUCUCAGCAGGCAAAGUUAAGACAAGAUGACUCAUCCCUCAACAACUCUGCUGAGUAAAACAAUAUUACGGCUGUUCACAGCAUGAAAACACACUCAAUAACACAUCUAACUCAUUGGGGCCAACUUUGUUCAUUGGUAAUUGAUUGUUGAUUUUUGUCAGAAGAGUCAGCUUAUCUUUGUAGCCUUGGCCAAUCGCUGUGUGUAGCUUAGCAAGCAUGGCACUCUAACCGCUGUUGCUGCCAGCAACUCUCCUUCUUCCAAGUCUGCCUGCAAGGAACACAAGGAACAGAGCAACACUAUGACAGAUUAUAAAAUAGCCUCUUUCUUGGAGGCUUACAAUCCUCAGACAACAGUCCAGUCAUAAAUUCACCAUAUUGCCCCUUAUUGCAAAACUUCAAACUCACUGUUACGUUUAAUAAAUUUGACCUUCAUGGGCAUUACUGCUGGGUUCAAGUUUAGUAAUCCUUCUCCAGAAUUUUAUACCAUACAAGUGGUCUUGUAAUGCUUGCCAGGCUAGCAUAAACCUAGCUAGUUUAGGGUGACCAUAUUCUGAAUCUCCAAAAUGAGGACACUGCUAUUCGGGGUGGAGUUGCAGAGUCACACGUAGUAAAUUUUGAGGGUUUUCCGGGUCGGAUGUUUUUUAUGUGCUUCUAUCUCAAUUAGUCCACGCUACACAAACUCAGAACUUCCACACAAAACCCCAGAUAUUUUAUAAACUCCCCUGGACAAGGCCGGACAGCCCCUCCAAAGAGAGGACAUAUCCAGAUAAAAGAGGAAGUAUGGUCACCCUAGUUUAGUUCCUUAGAAUCUGGAACCUCUGUUAUAAAACAACUGCUCCUGCCUUACAGUCUCCACACAUACUGUUCUUGUCACAUUUGAUCAACUUUUCUCUGUUCCCAAACAAAAAGGAGGCUGGCCUUUUUGGUCAUAUAGAACCGGAGUCCAACAUAUGGUGGCUAUCCUCCUUGAGGGACUUGCGGCCACUGUGUCUGGUUUUCCAUCACACAGUUCAGAUCUUGACAAGAAAAACUGAAUUCAGAGCGUUCAGGGAACACUGAGUAAGGACAUGCUAAUGCUAACAGGAUGUUUAUUUAUUAAUUCAUCAUGACAGGCAAAGAUGAAACUAAUCCUUUGUUGGAUUAAGAAAAAAGACUUUUGAGUGCAGCCUCUUGUACUGUAGUCAGCUCUUCACAAUGUGUUUUAUUGAAAAGAUUAACUCCGGUUACUUAUACAAAUCCUGCCUUUGGGAGAAUAAUUAAAUUGUCUUCAAACCUACAAAGACUGUCUUAUUUUUAAUAUUCAGCCAUGACUUUAAUGUACUUCCUAUAAUGUUCUUGUAUAAUCUGUACCUACACUUGAAACACAAGCUUCUGUGUUUGCCUAAAAUCACUGAAGGUGGAUGGAGAGCACCAGCUGUUUUUGUUUCCAUUUAUCCAAAGCUUCAUUACCCCAUCAAACAUUUACCUGCAAACAGUCUGCACUCUGCAGCUCACGCACACAUGCAGACACAUUAAGCAUGCACUGUGCAUUAGUUCGCUGAUGCCAUAAGAUUAAAGAGUUCAAUGCACAGCGUAUUCUGUUUGGGUUUCCAUGCUGUGGUCCACUGCUUCUUAAAGCUCAUACAGAACACUCACAACUGCCUUGAGCCACAAAGCACAUGUAGUCGACAUAUGCCUUUUCCAGACCUGUCCUCUACACAGGCUGACUUUGUUAGUCUCUCUUUUAACUUUUUCUCUAAAAAGUAUUAAUUAAGUAUUAAUUCCCCCUGUCCCCCCAAAAUUAAAUGGUUGUUAGGAUGAAAGUUUGGAGAAGGGACUAACAGACUCCUGGUCCAGCUGAGGUAAUUUAGCUUGGCUGCUGGUUUGACAGGGUGUUUGUGCACCAGUGACAUCCCCUGAGAAACAGAGGGUGCUUCAGUCUCGUCUGACGAAAGCUGUGCUGGUUUUUCUGCCCACCAAAUAAUUUUCUGUUCCAAUUAAAGGCACGCUACAUGUCAACUUCACACGUUACAAACUCUGUGGCAAAAAAGGACUCUGUGCUGAGUUAGUCAGUCAGGGAUGAUGCCCAUGGAACAAAGGCAACAUUUCUGCUCGCCAACUUGGUUAAAAACAACAAGCAACUGUCCAUGAAAGUUGAUACGACUAAAAUGUGUACCAUCUGUGCAAGUCUGACUGUGAAAAACCUGAUUUUGUGAAGCUCCAGCUCUCAGAGUAGUUUUGAACUCUUUUGAAAAAGGAACCAUCCGAGUAACUUAAGUUUUUUUGGUUUUCAUUUAAGAUUGCUAUGAAGCCGGUUUGGUUCUAGUUACGAAAGUAUUUUGUUUCAGUGUAAUCUUAUUUUUCCAGCAAUUACACCCCCAGUACUUACACUUAAUCUUGUUAAAACUCACCAAAGCUUUAUUCUUGCCAGUAUUUCUGAAUCUGUGCUUUGAAAUCGAUCAUCAAGGAAGACAAAAUCCAACAAUGAAAAAUAAUCCCCUAUGGUGCAGUCAAAGAAGUGUAACGAGUCUUUCAUUGGAUCAAGGCAUCAGUUUUAACUCCAUGACCAAACACAUCAGCAUUGAUGAUCAAAUCAAGCCAAAGUGCAGAGCCUUCGACUGUCUGCAGCUCGAAACAACUCCAUCAACUCCGUCUGCUGCUGCUGGGCUGCCAACGCCAUCCUCCUCU
This 8125-nucleotide long non-coding RNA is filed under the name Xyrichtys novacula (pearly razorfish). The record is from RNAcentral. Lineage: Eukaryota; Metazoa; Chordata; Actinopteri; Labriformes; Labridae.